AACUUCUUGGCAGAAACAUUGCAUUAGAUUUAGAAUCUA
Molecule: transfer RNA, 39 nt
Filed under: Nephilengys dodo
Lineage: Eukaryota; Metazoa; Arthropoda; Arachnida; Araneae; Nephilidae
Description: tRNA-Leu
Source: RNAcentral